GGGAACCCCUUCUUCCCCGUAGGGGAGUUCAUCCCCUAAAGGGGAACUAAAGGGGUUCCCCUUUAGUUCAUCACCUUUAGGGGAACUAAAGUUCCCCUUUAGGGGAAGAAGAAGAACACUAAAGAAGACAACCCUUCGGUUCAUCCCCUAAAGGGUAACAAACUUGACGAGACCAAAGGGGGACAACCAAAGGGGAAACCGAAGGUUUGUCAUCCCCCAAAGAAGACGAUAACCGAAGGGGUUCCCCUUUAGUUCCCCUUUAGUUCUUCCCCUUCGUCUCCGUCCCCUUUAGUUCCCCGUAGGGGAUGAAGAAGGGGAACACCCCUUCGUCUUCCCCAAAGGGGAACCUUCUUCAUCCCCUUUAGGGGAACUAAAGGGGACUCCGUCCCCUUUAGUUCCCCUAAAGGGGAUGAAGAAGUUCCCCUUCGGGGAGGAACACACUAAAGGGGAAGAAGAAGACGAAGACAAGGAAGCCAAACUAGGGGAUCCACGUGAGAGCACGAGUCAACGAGUAGCUAACGUAGUUGUCUUCUUCUUCCCCUUUAGUGUGUUCCUCCCCGAAGGGGAACUUCUUCAUCCCCUUUAGGGGAACUAAAGGGGACGGAGUCCCCUAAAGGGGAAGAAGGUUCCCCUUUGGGGAAGACGAAGGGGUUCCCCUUCGGGGAUGACUUCAUCCCCUAAAGGGGAACUAAAGGGGAUGAAAAGCUACCACAUAGACGGUCGCUCCAUAUGCGUAGCAUAGUCCAAAGGAACUACAAGCGCAAUUUGUGCGUUGUCCCCCUUCUUCCCCUUUAGUGUUACCCUUCGGGUAACACUAAAGGGGACGAAGACAAACGCAGGUGUCAUCUAUUACUUCCGGAUUGCCGAAACCAACCAUCCGGCUUUAAGCCGGAUUCUACAACGAACAUUAGAUCGGGCCCCUGGCCCGAUCUAAUGUUGUGGAAACUAAGCUACUAUCUACUUUGUAGCUUAUUUUCUUUAGGGUUAAAACACGCUGACACUUAGCGCAGGCGUCUAGUGUUACUACCGGACAAAGGCUACGUUCUACAACAUUGCUGCUGUUCUGCUGAAUUCUUUCCCCGAAGGGGAUGCCAACGGCCAACUACACAACGCGGAUCGAAGACCCAAAGGGAGUUUAAAAUAAACUACAUAAAAAAAAGCGCAGCUUGCGGCGCAGCGACCAACGCAGUACGCUCGGCUACCGGCUUUCAGCCUCGAUGCUUUGCAGCUUUACCU
Molecule: long non-coding RNA, 1236 nt
Filed under: Volvox carteri
Lineage: Eukaryota; Viridiplantae; Chlorophyta; Chlorophyceae; Chlamydomonadales; Volvocaceae
Description: long non-coding RNA (VCAR_LNC004293)
Source: RNAcentral